Molecule: long non-coding RNA, 1211 nt
Filed under: Homo sapiens (human)
Lineage: Eukaryota; Metazoa; Chordata; Mammalia; Primates; Hominidae
Description: HSALNT0122410
Source: RNAcentral
GCCCCAGGCAGCUCCCUCCAUUCCGCUAGCCAUGUGAGGUAUUCUGCCUUCUUCUCUCUGGGAUCUGUGAGGAAUAUGCUGCUUCUGUGACUCUAUGUGCUUUGUCCAGUUGCCUCCUCUGUCUCCCCGGACAGAUGCACCAGAACCUAGCUCCUCUCCUAGUCAGGGCUGGCCUAAAGAGUGGCUAUCUUAUUGGGAAUAGCUGGAAACAGGUCAGAUGGGAGCCACAAGGAGUCUGCCAGUAUGAACAAGAUUCCUGUGAGAGCAACACCAGACCAUGGGUCUCACCCUCAGGCAUGAGGCCACCUGCCAGGAUAAAGAAGAAUCUUGUGAAAGGCGUGCUGUACACAUCCACCACCAAAUCCCCGAGGCCCAUUAGGUGGGGCACAGUUUAUAGGAACUCUGCAGAAAGAGACCACAAGACCAAAUCAGAAAGAAUCACAACAGCCUCAGCCACAUGGUUCCCUCCAUGAGCAGAGGCACCCACAGCACCGAGGAGAGGGGAGGGGAGCUGAAGAAAGGGGAGGGGAGAGUAGGAGAGGAUGUCUUCAAGCCACCCUGUUUUCAGCCCCACAGGCCCCGUGAUAUGAGAAGCACAGAGGGUUUCUCCAAGUACAGAGAACAAAACAGGAAUAAUCCUCUAGUUCUCCUUCCACAUCCUCAUCCUAGGGCAUUUUUAUUUAUGCAGAGUACACACUCCCUGUCUUGUACCUCACUUUCCUAGGUGAGGGUGCCCCCUAACAUGCUGGCUUGGUGGGUGUUUUCCUGGGUCAUCCCCAGCGGGCACCUGAGCCUGGGCUAUGCAACCUGCUGCCUCCUCCUUGUAGGAGCCCCCUCUCCCAGCUGUAGGUCUCUUCCUCUCAAAGGACUCAGCAUCAGCCUCAUGCAAGAAAUAUCCUUGGGAAACAGUGGCCUGACAAGAAGGGUGAGGGUGAAGGAAAGGCUAAGAAUUGAGAUGGAGACGGUGAGGGAGGAGGGAAAGGAACAGUGGACCCACUUUGCUGAUAAAGGAGCUUAGGUCAGAACAGCCUCCAGACACAGAGAGGAAUGGCCUCCAGGUAUGAGGGCAGCAGAGGGGCUGGAAAUGGGAAAGAAGAGUGGCCUCCAGGUAUGAGGGCAGCAGAGGGACUGGAAAUGGGAAAGAGUACAGGGUGUGGAGGAAGAAGGGGCAGCCACAUCACUGCAGGAGACUCUGGACAAAGGAACAUUUU